This 334-nucleotide unclassified non-coding RNA is filed under the name soil metagenome. Its description in RNAcentral is "partial contains 5.8S ribosomal RNA, internal transcribed spacer 2, and large subunit ribosomal RNA". The stretch from base 1 to 120 matches the Rfam family "5.8S ribosomal RNA", at positions 35 to 154 of the family's 154-position model. The record is from RNAcentral.
GAUGAAGAACGUAGUGAAAUGCGAUAAGUAAUGUGAAUUGCAGAAUUCAGUGAAUCAUCGAAUCUUUGAACGCACAUUGCGCCCGCUAGUAUUCUGGCGGGCAUGCCUGUUCGAGCGUCAUUUCAACCAUCAAGCCCCAGGCUUGUGUUGGAGCCCUGCGGCUGCCGCAGCCUCCCAAAACCAGUGGCGGGCUCGCUAUCACACCGAGUGCAGUAGUUUACUCUUCGCUCAGGGCGUGUGGCGGGUGCUAGCCGUAAAACCCCCAACUUCUCAAGGUUGACCUCGGAUCAGGUAGGAAUACCCGCUGAACUUAAGCAUAUCAAUAAGCGGAGGA